AGUGAACGCUGGCGGUAGGCCUAACACAUGCAAGUCGAACGGCAGCACAGUAAGAGCUUGCUCUUACGGGUGGCGAGUGGCGGACGGGUGAGGAAUACAUCGGAAUCUACUUUUUCGUGGGGGAUAACGUAGGGAAACUUACGCUAAUACCGCAUACGACCUACGGGUGAAAGCAGGGGAUCUUCGGACCUUGCGCGAUUGAAUGAGCCGAUGUCGGAUUAGCUAGUUGGCGGGGUAAAGGCCCACCAAGGCGACGAUCCGUAGCUGGUCUGAGAGGAUGAUCAGCCACACUGGAAGUGAGACACGGUACAGACUCCUACGGGAGGCAGCAGUGGGGAAUAUUGGACAAUGGGCGCAAGCCUGAUCCAGCCAUACCGCGUGGGUGAAGAAGACCUUCGGGUUGUAAAGCCCUUUUGUUGGGAAAGAAAAGCGGCAGGUUAAUACCCCGCUGUUCUGACGGUAACCAAAGAAUAAGCACCGGCUAACUUCGUG
This 492-nucleotide ribosomal RNA is filed under the name uncultured bacterium. RNAcentral's name for it is "partial 16S ribosomal RNA". It matches the Rfam family "Bacterial small subunit ribosomal RNA", at positions 29 to 507 of the family's 1533-position model. The record is from RNAcentral.